Molecule: ribosomal RNA, 295 nt
Filed under: uncultured bacterium
Lineage: Bacteria
Description: partial 16S ribosomal RNA
Rfam family: Bacterial small subunit ribosomal RNA
Source: RNAcentral
GACGAACGCUGGCGGCGUGCUUAACACAUGCAAGUCGAGCGGUAAGGCCCUUUCGGGGUACACGAGCGGCGAACGGGUGAGUAACACGUGGGUGACCUGCCCGUUAGCUCUGGGAUAAGCCUGGGAAACUGGGUCUAAUACCGGAUAUGACCUCAUGACGCAUGUUGUGGGGUGGAAAGCCUUGUGCGGCUAGGGAUGGGCCCGUGGCCUAUCAGCUUGUUGGUGGGGUGAUGGCCUACCAAGGCGACGACGGGUAGCCGGCCUGAGAGGAUGAUCAGCCUCACUGGGACUGAGA